GUUAGGAAUAUUGGACAAUGGGCGAAAGCCUGAUCCAGCCAUGCCGCGUGAACGAUGAAGGCCUUCGGGUUGUAAAGUUCUUUAGCCGAUGAUUAUAAUGACUGUAGUCGGAAAAUAAGCCCCGGCUAACUUCGUGCCAGCAGCCGCGGUAAUACGAAGGGGACGAGCGUUAUUCGGAAUCACUGGGCGUAAAGCGUGCGUAGGCGGUUUUGUAAGUUAGGAGUGAAAGCCCAGGGCUCAACCUUGGAAUUGCUCUUAAAACUGCAAGGCUCGAAUCUCGGAGAGGAUAGCGGAAUUUCCAGUGUAGCAGUGAAAUGCGUAGAUAUUGGAAGGAACACCAGUGGCGUAAGCGGCUAUCUGGACGAGUAUUGACGCUGAGGCACGAAAGCGUGGGGAUCAAACAGGAUUAGAUACCCCUGUAGUCC
RNAcentral lists this ribosomal RNA (425 nucleotides) under uncultured bacterium. Its description in RNAcentral is "partial 16S ribosomal RNA". It matches the Rfam family "Bacterial small subunit ribosomal RNA", at positions 354 to 796 of the family's 1533-position model. The record is from RNAcentral.